CUAUGUACCCUCCAAUUCAUCAGGUUUGUACUUUGAUGCAAUCUGGUUGUUGGGUUCCUAAUGUUUCUCGUUCUGUUAUUUUCUUUUUUCGUGGGAUUGUAUUUUUGGCUGUUGAUUUUGUUCCUUCUUUUAUGGAGAAUAGAUGCAAGUUUGGUGUUCAGUUUGGUUUUUAUUUAAGUGGCUUGAAUUGAACUCAGGAACAAUCUUUUGUUGUUCAGUUGGUUGAUUUGGUUCCAAUUGAAGUUGGAGUGAAUUGAAGGGGCAUCUGCGAUUUGAAGUUGUGGGAUUAGAGAAUUUGAUGGUAUUUGUGUAUCAUUGUGGCGUAUUACUUUGACUUGUAUGUUAAGAGUGAAGGAAUUUUUAGUGCAAAAAUAUUCAACAUGUGGUUCUUUGCCUUACCUUUAUACAACAUGCGAUCUGCUUUGUAGUUUUCAGUCAUAGACAAUUAUUAUUAAACUUCUUGAUGAAAAUUAAUACAAGCCUUCUGGAAGUGAACUAAGAAGUAGCAUGCAUUGGGCUCUCUAUUUGUCAAUCCCAAGUUGUGUUUAGCACAUAGCAUAACAUAUUCCUUCCCAGUUUCCCUUUCAAAACAACCAUCCAAAGGAAACUUUGAUGUCAAGUAGGAAAGUCACAGCCUGUUUGCAUAAGUUACUUAGAAUUCUUGAUGUAAAUUCUAGGGAUGCUAAGUGUGAGAAAUCGGUAGAUUGCUAGGUUUUGUUGUUUAUAUUUGUACUUUACAUUUUACAGUAGAAAACCUUUCCCUCACCAAAAUCCCGAAGAGCUAAAGAGAUGGAUUCAUCACAUUUAUUUGUGUGAGGCUGUGACCAUAUAUAAAAGAGAGAUAAUGCUGGGUCUUAUUUGAAAUAUUGGGACAAUUGAUAAAACAUGGAAGGAGGUUUUGAGUAAAGACAUGAAUUAUGAAUAACUAAAGGAGUAUAGACUUUUGGUGGCAUCUGUGGGCUUUGGAUGACACAUAUAUCAGAUGCCCUGGACUCUCGGUCACCUGAUAGGGAGCCAUUUUUGCUCACUAGCAUCGUUGAAUGAGAGUUGUGAAUAUCUUUGGCCUCACUCACCAUCAUAACUGUUUUGCUAUGUCUUAAAAUUCCAUCAUGCUAGCUCAGAAGUUUUUU
This 1130-nucleotide unclassified non-coding RNA is filed under the name Hevea brasiliensis (rubber tree). The record is from RNAcentral. Lineage: Eukaryota; Viridiplantae; Streptophyta; Magnoliopsida; Malpighiales; Euphorbiaceae.